Molecule: long non-coding RNA, 459 nt
Organism: Mus musculus (house mouse)
Lineage: Eukaryota; Metazoa; Chordata; Mammalia; Rodentia; Muridae
Product: predicted gene, 54267
Exons: 2
Source: RefSeq, a predicted model, not a curated record
UGUCUCUUUUCUCUGCAUAUGGAAGAUAUAUAUCAACAAGUGGAGCUGAGAGGGGACCCAGUCAGUAAAGUGCUUGAGGACCUGAGUUCAAAUCCCUGGCACCUAUGUGCAAGUCUGGGCAUGGCGGUACACCAGCUGAUUAUCACAGUUACAAGGAGAGCCCUAGGCCUUGGUGCACAGCCAGUGUGGCUGUGUUAGUGAGCUUCAGGGCUUUGUCUCCUAAAUGCUGCACCCUCACCCAGUACCACCAGAGGCCAAGGACCAGGCCCUCAAUGCCUGAGCUUCAAGAAGCACUUCCUCAAACCACAGCGGAGCCAAUGAGAGAAGUGACAGCUCUGUUUAGAGGCAAACAUGGGCCCAGGGACCAGCGGGGAUGCCCCAGGCAGGGCCAUGCUCUCCUGCAGCAAUUACAUGACCAUGUCAACACCCUGCAUCAUUAAAUGAACUGCUUCCCCCAGA